GCACCGGCUAACUACGUGCCAGCAGCCGCGGUAAUACGUAGGGUGCGAGCGUUGUCCGGAAUUACUGGGCGUAAAGAGCUCGUAGGCGGUUUGUCACGUCGUCUGUGAAAUCCUAGGGCUUAACCCUGGACGUGCAGGCGAUACGGGCUGACUUGAGUACUACAGGGGAGACUGGAAUUUCUGGUGUAGCGGUGGAAUGCACAGAUAUCAGGAAGAACACCGAUGGCGAAGGCAGGUCUCUGGGUAGUAACUGACGCUGAGGAGCGAAAGCAUGGGUAGCGAACAGGAUUAGAUACCCUGGUAGUCCAUGCCGUAAACGGUGGGCGCUAGGUGUGGGGUUCCUUCCACGGGCUCCGUGCCGUAGCUAACGCAUUAAGCGCCCCGCCUGGGGAGUACGGCCGCA
RNAcentral lists this ribosomal RNA (403 nucleotides) under uncultured bacterium. RNAcentral's name for it is "bacterial SSU rRNA". It matches the Rfam family "Bacterial small subunit ribosomal RNA", at positions 490 to 890 of the family's 1533-position model. The record is from RNAcentral.